AAACCGACACAGGUGGGUGAGGAGAGUAUCCUAAGGCCAGCGAGAGAACUGUUGUUAAGGAACUCGGCAAAAUGACCCCGUAACUUAGGGAUAAGGGGUGCCGCCAUCAGGUGGCCGCAGAGAAUAGGCCCAAGCGACUGUUUACCAAAAACAUAGGUUUCUGCUAAGUCGCAAGACGAUGUAUAGGAGCUGACGCCUGCCCGGU
Molecule: ribosomal RNA, 205 nt
Filed under: Clostridioides difficile
Lineage: Bacteria; Bacillati; Bacillota; Clostridia; Peptostreptococcales; Peptostreptococcaceae
Description: partial 23S ribosomal RNA
Rfam family: Bacterial large subunit ribosomal RNA
Source: RNAcentral